Molecule: ribosomal RNA, 490 nt
Filed under: uncultured bacterium
Lineage: Bacteria
Description: partial 16S ribosomal RNA
Rfam family: Bacterial small subunit ribosomal RNA
Source: RNAcentral
AUUGAACGCUGGCGGCAUGCCUUACACAUGCAAGUCGAACGGCAGCAUGAUCUAGCUUGCUAGAUUGAUGGCGAGUGGCGCACGGGUGAGUAAUACAUCGGAACGUGCCCUGUAGUGGGGGAUAACUAGUCGAAAGAUUAGCUAAUACCGCAUACGACCUGAGGGUGAAAGUGGGGGACCGCAAGGCCUCAUGCUAUAGGAGCGGCCGAUGUCUGAUUAGCUAGUUGGUGAGGUAAAGGCUCACCAAGGCGACGAUCAGUAGCUGGUCUGAGAGGACGAUCCGCCACCCUGGGACUUGGACACGGGCCAGACUCCUACGGGAGGCAGCAGUGGGGAAUUUUGGACAAUGGGCGGAAGCCUGAUCCAGCAAUGCCGCGUGUGUGGAGAAGGCCUUCGGGUUGUAAAGCACUUUUGUCCGGAAAGAAAUGGCUCUGGUUAAUACCUGGGGUCGAUGACGGUACCGGAAGAAUAAGGACCGGCUAACUACGUG